GCCCCUGUAGUUCAGUGGAUAGAACCGCACCCCCCUAAGGUGAAAACACGUGUUCGACUCACGUCAGGGGUA
Molecule: transfer RNA, 72 nt
Filed under: Bacteroidales bacterium
Lineage: Bacteria; Pseudomonadati; Bacteroidota; Bacteroidia; Bacteroidales
Description: tRNA-Arg
Rfam family: tRNA
About the family: Transfer RNA (tRNA) molecules are approximately 80 nucleotides in length. Their secondary structure includes four short double-helical elements and three loops (D, anti-codon, and T loops). Further hydrogen bonds mediate the characteristic L-shaped molecular structure. tRNAs have two regions of fundamental functional importance: the anti-codon, which is responsible for specific mRNA codon recognition, and the 3' end, to which the tRNAs corresponding amino acid is attached (by aminoacyl-tRNA synthetases). tRNAs cope with the degeneracy of the genetic code in two manners: having more than one tRNA (with a specific anti-codon) for a particular amino acid; and 'wobble' base-pairing, i.e. permitting non-standard base-pairing at the 3rd anti-codon position.
Source: RNAcentral